Molecule: ribosomal RNA, 816 nt
Filed under: Escherichia coli
Lineage: Bacteria; Pseudomonadati; Pseudomonadota; Gammaproteobacteria; Enterobacterales; Enterobacteriaceae
Description: partial 23S ribosomal RNA
Rfam family: Bacterial large subunit ribosomal RNA
Source: RNAcentral
UGUGAGCUCGAUGAGUAGGGCGGGACACGUGGUAUCCUGUCUGAAUAUGGGGGGACCAUCCUCCAAGGCUAAAUACUCCUGACUGACCGAUAGUGAACCAGUACCGUGAGGGAAAGGCGAAAAGAACCCCGGCGAGGGGAGUGAAAAAGAACCUGAAACCGUGUACGUACAAGCAGUGGGAGCACGCUUAGGCGUGUGACUGCGUACCUUUUGUAUAAUGGGUCAGCGACUUAUAUUCUGUAGCAAGGUUAACCGAAUAGGGGAGCCGAAGGGAAACCGAGUCUUAACUGGGCGUUAAGUUGCAGGGUAUAGACCCGAAACCCGGUGAUCUAGCCAUGGGCAGGUUGAAGGUUGGGUAACACUAACUGGAGGACCGAACCGACUAAUGUUGAAAAAUUAGCGGAUGACUUGUGGCUGGGGGUGAAAGGCCAAUCAAACCGGGAGAUAGCUGGUUCUCCCCGAAAGCUAUUUAGGUAGCGCCUCGUGAAUUCAUCUCCGGGGGUAGAGCACUGUUUCGGCAAGGGGGUCAUCCCGACUUACCAACCCGAUGCAAACUGCGAAUACCGGAGAAUGUUAUCACGGGAGACACACGGCGGGUGCUAACGUCCGUCGUGAAGAGGGAAACAACCCAGACCGCCAGCUAAGGUCCCAAAGUCAUGGUUAAGUGGGAAACGAUGUGGGAAGGCCCAGACAGCCAGGAUGUUGGCUUAGAAGCAGCCAUCAUUUAAAGAAAGCGUAAUAGCUCACUGGUCGAGUCGGCCUGCGCGGAAGAUGUAACGGGGCUAAACCAUGCACCGAAGCUGCGGCAGCGACGCU